This 254-nucleotide unclassified non-coding RNA is filed under the name uncultured Actinomycetes bacterium. RNAcentral's name for it is "uncultured actinobacterium contains 16S-23S intergenic spacer region". The record is from RNAcentral. Lineage: Bacteria; Bacillati; Actinomycetota; Actinomycetes.
UCCGGUUUUUCACCGACUUUACGGUUGGGCAACCCUUUCCGGCGCCUACUUCUGGAAUGUCAAACCCAGGUAAGGUUCUUCGCUUUGCAUCGAAUUAAGCAACGCGCUCCGCCGCUUGUGCGGGCCCCCGUCAAUUCCUUUGAGUUUUAGCCUUGCGGCCGUACUCCCCAGGCGGCGAACUUAAUGCGUUAGCUUCGGCACAGAGGCCAUGACAGCCCCCACACCUAGUUCGCACCGUUUACGGCCAGGACUAC